GGGGGGAGGUCGGAUCCUGGGCUGUGUCCUGGCGCCCUGUGCUCCCGGUCUGUGAUGUUGGAUUCGCGCUCCCGGCCGCACAGCCGCCU
This 89-nucleotide microRNA precursor is filed under the name Canis lupus familiaris (dog). RNAcentral's name for it is "mir-8799 microRNA precursor family". It matches the Rfam family "mir-8799 microRNA precursor family". RNAcentral also lists the same sequence under 1 other name. The record is from Rfam by way of RNAcentral. Lineage: Eukaryota; Metazoa; Chordata; Mammalia; Carnivora; Canidae.